This 253-nucleotide ribosomal RNA is filed under the name uncultured bacterium. Its description in RNAcentral is "partial 16S ribosomal RNA". It matches the Rfam family "Bacterial small subunit ribosomal RNA", at positions 524 to 776 of the family's 1533-position model. The record is from RNAcentral.
UACGGAGGGGACUAGCGUUGUUCGGAAUUACUGGGCGUAAAGCGCACGUAGGCGGAUUUGUAAGUCAGGGGUGAAAUCCCGGGGCUCAACCUCGGAACUGCCUUUGAUACUGCAAAUCUCUAGUCCGGAAGAGGUGAGUGGAAUUCCUAGUGUAGAGGUGAAAUUCGUAGAUAUUGGGAAGAACACCAGUGGCGAAGGCGGCUCACUGGUCCGGUACUGACGCUGAGGUGCGAAAGCGUGGGGAGCAAACAGG